GUAGGUGGCAAGCGUUGUCCGGAAUUAUUGGGCGUAAAGCGCGCGCAGGCGGUUCUUUAAGUCUGAUGUGAAAGCCCACGGCUCAACCAUGGAGGGUCAUUGGAAACUGGAGAACUUGAGUACAGAAGAGGAAAGCGGAAUUCCACGUGUAGCGGUGAAAUGCGUAGAGAUGUGGAGGAACACCAGUGGCGAAGGCGGCUUUCUGGUCUGUAACUGACGCUGAGGCGCGAAAGCGUGGGGGAGCAAACAGGAUUAGAUACCCUGGUAGUCCACGCCGUAAACGAUGAGUGCUAAGUGUUAGGGGGUUUCCGCCCCUUAGUGCUGCAGCUAACGCAUUAAGCACUCCGCCUGGGAGUACGGCCGCAAGGCUG
This 371-nucleotide ribosomal RNA is filed under the name uncultured organism. RNAcentral describes it as "partial 16S ribosomal RNA". It matches the Rfam family "Bacterial small subunit ribosomal RNA", at positions 527 to 896 of the family's 1533-position model. The record is from RNAcentral.